AGCGAACGCUGGCGGCAGGCUUAACACAUGCAAGUCGAGCGGGCAUAGCAAUAUGUCAGCGGCAGACGGGUGAGUAACGCGUGGGAACGUACCUUUUGGUUCGGAACAACUGAGGGAAACUUCAGCUAAUACCGGCUAAGCCCUUACGGGGAAAGAUUUAUCGCCGAAAGAUCGGCCCGCGUCUGAUUAGCUAGUUGGUGAGGUAAUGGCUCACCAAGGCGACGAUCAGUAGCUGGUCUGAGAGGAUGAUCAGCCACAUUGGUACUGAGACACGGCCCAAACUCCUACGGGAGGCAGCAGUGGGGAAUAUUGGACAAUGGGGGCAAGCCUGAUCCAGCCAUGCCGCGUGAGUGAUGAAGGCCCUAGGGUUGUAAAGCUCUUUUGUGCGGGAAGAUAAUGACGGUACCGCAAGAAUAAGCCCCGGCUAACUUCGUG
Molecule: ribosomal RNA, 435 nt
Filed under: uncultured bacterium
Lineage: Bacteria
Description: partial 16S ribosomal RNA
Rfam family: Bacterial small subunit ribosomal RNA
Source: RNAcentral